GGAGUAGGCGCAGGCGGUUGCAGAUCAGCCAUACUGGCUGGUUUGAGGAAAGUCCGGGCUUCCGAAAGACCAAACUUGCUGGAUAACGUCCAGUGCGAGCGAUCGUGAGGAUAGUGCCACAGAAAGAUACCGCCAAUUAGUCAUUAGUUAUUAGUCAUUAGUCAUUUGUGAAAGAACAAAGGACAAAGGACUAACGACAAAGGACUAAUUUGGCAAGGGUGCAAAGGUGCGGUAAGAGCGCACCAGCAGCGUCGAGAGGCGCUGGCUCGGUAAACCCCGGUUGGAAGCAAGGCGAAAGGAACUAUGGUUGGUCUUUUACCAGUUCCUCUCAAAAAGAGCCGCUUGAGGCGUCUGGUAACAGGCGUCCCAGAUAGAUAACUGCCCUCGCAAGAGAACAGAACCCGGCUUAUGUCCUGCUCUCUCC
RNAcentral lists this RNase P RNA (424 nucleotides) under aff. Roholtiella sp. LEGE 12411. RNAcentral's name for it is "Bacterial RNase P class A". It matches the Rfam family "Bacterial RNase P class A". From Rfam's summary of the family: Ribonuclease P (RNase P) is a ubiquitous endoribonuclease, found in archaea, bacteria and eukarya as well as chloroplasts and mitochondria. Its best characterised activity is the generation of mature 5'-ends of tRNAs by cleaving the 5'-leader elements of precursor-tRNAs. Lineage: Bacteria; Bacillati; Cyanobacteriota; Cyanophyceae; Nostocales; Fortieaceae. The record is from Rfam by way of RNAcentral.